Molecule: long non-coding RNA, 6096 nt
Filed under: Olea europaea subsp. europaea
Lineage: Eukaryota; Viridiplantae; Streptophyta; Magnoliopsida; Lamiales; Oleaceae
Source: RNAcentral
CCUUUUUAUUUUAUUAUGCAGGUGAUGAAGAUAAGGUUUAAGGGGAACAGAAAAGGAAUCUGAAUAGCCCAGAGUCACUCAUAUGAUAUAAUAUCACAUUUAUUUAUUAUUUAUGGUCAUUGCUCUUAUCUUUUGCCCCAGUUUUUCUUAUCCAUAAUUUUUACACAACAAUUUCUAAUUCUCAUCUGCAUAGAUAGAUAACUAUUUUUUUUUGUGUUAUCAUCAGCAGUAGCAUACUUAUAUAUAACUGCAUUGUGGAUCAUUGGAAUGAGCCAAGAAUAUAUGAUGAUGGUCAUAAAAAUGGAGUCUUUUUUCAACCCGGAAAAUAAGAAUGGGAUAAUGUAUGAAGAAAAAUUUCAAGAUUCUGUUUCAUGAACCUCAAGUAGUACUCUUGAAUCUUCAGAAUCUGAUUUGUUUGAAGAAGUAAACUCAUCUGAUCAGCAUCCAAAUGCAAAUGGCCCUUUACAAGACGUCUUCUUUGAUACAACAACUGCCCAUCAAGUAAGUUAUUGUUGUUCAUUUGAGUAAAAGUUUACUUAUAAGUAAAUAUGUUAAUUGAAUGGUUUUUGGUUUGCAGAAGAGGGCUUUCCGAACAUUACAGUGGCAAAUCACAAUCUUUUACUUCUUUAUCAAACAUGAGGUGCUUAGGCCACACCAAAUUUAAAGUAAGUUAUGUACUAUUUUGCACCAAACUGAGAUUCAUCUUAUAAUCAAUGCAUCAAAAAGAAGUUGAACUAAAAUGUUGGUUUAAUUAAUUAUUUUUACAAUGGUAGACCAUUUCGAGUAUAUUCUAUUAGCUAGAUAAUAAUUAUCUUAUUUUUCUUGAAUGACGAAUUGAGUCGACGGAGCAAUACCAAGUGAUGUUCGUGAAAAGAUGGAAUCUUUCCAAAACAUUGAUAUAAUUGUUUGAACUUGAAAGUCUAAAAUAUGCAUGCAAUAUCAUUUGAUGACUCUAUGACCGGGAAUGGAGCCUGUAUGUGCUCAUUGGUUAAUAUAUCGAUUGGCUUACUGAGCAAUAAGGAGGUUGUUGUUCAAACAUAUGAGAGUUAUCUAGGAUAUUUGUACUAAAUCAUCUUCACCUCUAGAUUGGAUUUCAUCAAAAUUUCAACCAUUCAACCUAUGCUACAAAUCUUAUAUUGUAGAUAGGAUAUUUGGGAUAAACCAUCUUCAACAUUAUAUUAGAUUUCAUAAAGAUCUCAACCGUUCAAUCUAUACCGACAAAUCUUAUUUCAUCUAUCAUUUUUCUAUAAAAUAUCACACCAUAAUCAUUGGAUCUAACAUUUAUUUUUUUUCGAAAUUUUACCUUCACUUUCUCAAUAAUUCCCUAACAACAAGUUCUGUUCUACGAAGUUCUUCAUACUCACAUAAAAAAGACGUACACAUAUGUUGAGUCUACCUUGAUAUAUCCAAAUGUGCAAUUAUUAUUAUAAACUAGUAAAUGGACCAAUUUUGGUCUCGAAGAGAGCGUGAAUACGACGAGAAACUUCCUUCAUUUAUCGAUCUUACUUGAUCUAAAAGAUCCCAAAUGAAGUAAAUGCAAGUUAUUAACAUUGUAGUUAGUAAAAUGUAGGGAUAUAUUUGACAAGUGAAACUUCUGAAUUCAAGUGGUGCUCAAAUGAAGAUAUUGUGAGGAUUAUUCGCAAUAUUUGCUAACAAAUAUUAAGUUCAAUACAUAAUUUUGUAUAAUUUAUUUUUUAUAGCAAAUAUAUUCAUCCAAAUUGUGCUUCAGAUGAACAUAUUUUAAAUGUUAAUUUUACUUAUAGAAACAUUUAAAAUUAUUGAACCAUUUCAGAAAAAAGCUAAAAAAUAAAUUAUACAAAUUAUGUCAUUUAGAAGUAGUAGAGAAAUUAUGUAUUGAACUUAACAUUUGUUAGCAAACAUUACGAAUGAUACUUACAAUAUCUUUAUCUGAGGCACCACUUGGAUUUAGAAGUUCCACUUGUCGAACACAUCCUUAUAUUUUAUUAACUGCAAUGUUAAUAACUUGCAUUCACUUCAUUAGGGAUCUUUUAGGUCGAGUAAAACUGAUAAAUGAAGAAAGUGUGUCGUUGUAUUCACUUUCCACUCGAGAUCAGAAUUGGUCCCUUGGCUGGUCUGUAACUAUAAUUGCAUUUUUAGAGAUAUGAAGGUAGACUCGACAUAAGUAUAUGCCUUCUCAUUUGAGUAUAAAGAAUUUUAUAAAACAGAACUCGUUGUUAAGAUAUUAUUGAGAAAGUGAAGUUAAAACUUGGAAGAAAUUGAAGGUGAAUUCCAAUGAAGUAUGGUGUGAUAUUUUGAUAGAAGAAAGGAUAGACGGGAUAAGAUUUAUAGGAUGAUUGAAUAGUUGAGAUCUUUAAGAAAUCCAAUUUAAUUGUGGAGAUGGUUUAGCCUAAGUAUCCUAUCUUCAAUAUGGCACGAUAAGAUUUAUGGUCAUUGAAUGGUUGAGAUCUUGAUGAAAUCCAAUCGAAAUGUGAAGAUAGUUUAGCCUAGAUAUCGUAUCUUGAAUAUGGUAGGAUAAGAUUUGUAGGUAUAGAUUGAACGAUAAAGAUCUUGAUGAAAUCCAAUCUAAUAUUGGAGAUAGUUUAGCUCACAUAUCCUAUCUUGAACAUGACAAGAUAAGAUUUAUGUGCAUAGACCAAACGGUUGAGAUCUUGAUGAAAUUCAAUCUAAUGGUUAGUCAAGAAUCCUACGUGACAAGUAAAAUUUGUGUACAUAGAUUGAACAGUUGAAAUCUUAAUAAAAUUCAAUCUAACAUUGGAGAUUGUUUAGUCCAGAUAUUGUAUCUAAAGGUGGACCAAGUAUUCAGCAACAAUAAAAGACAGUAUUGAACUGUGGUAAUGCUCCAAUAAUGAUAUCAGUGUUUUAAAGAGAUCACAUCUUUUUACAAACAUCGCUCUCAAAGUAUUGCUUCGCUAGCUCAAUACAGCCUUCAAGAAAAACAAUAUAACAUAGGUUAUUAUGUAGAUGAUAAUAUAUGCCUGAAAUGGUUUACCAUUGCACAAAUGAUUUAUAAGCCACAAGCUCCCCCCAAAAUUAUUUGCAAUAAAACAAGAAGCAUGUAAAAAAGAUGUUGAGCGUGCAUUUAACGUUUUAGAAUCGAAGUUUGCAAUUAUGAAAUGACUACAGGUUUUUGAAAAAAAAAAAUAUGUAUUACAUGAUAUAAUGACUACAAUCAUUAUUAUGCAUAAUAUGAGAAUCAAGGACAAACGACAAACAUGAUCUUGAUACACCAGUUCAAGUUUGGAUGAAGAGUCAAUUCUAAAAGUUUAUUUGCUAGAAGAUGAAAAUUAUCGCUUUCGAGAAUUCCUUACUUGUCAUAGACAAUUCAAGGAUAGGGAAGCUCACAUUUCACUUCAAAAAUGCAUCAAUUGAUUAUUUGUGGGAUGAAUAUACGAAUUUCGAGAAUUAAAUGACAAUACUAGUUCGACUUAAUAAUAUCAUGAUAUCAGAAUUCAAAAAUGUAUUACACUUUUGGAUAUUAUAAUUUAAUAUUUCUUAGUUGUGGCAUUUGUAUUAAUUGCUCUACAUUUUUUUAUAUCUACUAAUAAUUCAAUAUUUUUCAUAAGUAAACGUAAUUAUUUAUUUAGUAAUUUAUGUAGUAAUAAAAUAAAUAGAUGAAUAAUUUUUUAAUUAAAUAAAUUGCUAAGAAUUAAAAUCAAAAAUAAAAAAAUGAUGAAACACUACUCUUUUGGUGUAUUGGAUUGGAGAUGAUUUUACAGUAUGGUACAAAAUGAUGCAAAACUUACCUCAAGUUUUGUUGUAGCAUUUGAGGUGGCCUAAGAACAAACUUCUUGUUUACAAUCUAUACCAUCUGCCGGCAAAUUUUAGAAAGUAAUAAAAAUGCAAUUUUUCAAAUUUUGCCUUUAACUUCCUCAAUUGUUAAUAAUUAAAUUAUCAGAUUUUGAACCAUAUUUAAUUAUAUUACCAAUAAAUCCUUUUCCAACCAGUGUUUACGAUAUUCCAAAAACAAAUUGAUAAAACAAAUUGUGUCUCAUGCAUUAAAGGUAAUUGAUUUAAUUUAGGUAUUUUUCUAUCGUAUCAGCUUUCCUUUUAUUUUGUAAUUUUAUAAAUUUGAGAUUCAACAGAUAUUUUUAUUUUUCAUUAUAAAAGAAUUAUAAUGAAUACAUUAUUUUAGAAAAAUCCUUGACAAUAUUAUAAUAAUAUGAUGAUGAUGAUGAUAAUGAUAAUGAUGCAAAAUGACGUCAUUAUAUUGAAUGUCAAACUUGUUAAUUGUAUAUCGGUAAUAAAUUAUUUUUGUAUACCAAUCACUAAAAUGCUUAUAUUGAGUUAAAAUUUCACCAACCAACUAAAAGAAUAAAAUUCUUUCACUUUCUUUUUGUCACUUCGUCAAUGCUUAAAAAAAAAAAAAAGAAAAAAAAAAGGAUGUGAAUGGUAAUGUACAACAAGCAUUUUUCAUAAAAUAUAUAAAAAAAAUCGGCAAAAAGAAAACGAGAAGAACUUGUAGUGAAGCCCUCUUCAAGCUCGAUGGAGGUUGUCGACUUCUAUUUGGCAUCUUUCUGUUUUUACGUAGAUUAUCAAGAUAAAGAGAACAGAAAAGGAAACUAGAUAAUACCGAGACAAUCGUACAAGAAUUUAUCUAUUUGUAAAGAAUUUUUUAUCCAAAUUGUUUAUAGAUGCAGUGGUGGCGACAGAUAAUUCGUCUCAAUUUCUUCUUCUUUUUCUUUUUGAUUGACCACCCAAUGACAGUGACAUCCAAUCAAAGUGUAUGUAAGUUUUUUUUGUAUAUAUAGCACACUCCAUUAUAUAUCAUAUUCAUUCAUCAUUAUUAUUAUUUAUAGUCCUUGCUCUUACUUUUGCCCCCAUCUUUUCUUAUCCAUAUUAUAAUUGCAUGCUGGAUCAUUUGAAUGAGCCAAGAUUUGAAGAAUAUAUGAUGAACGUCAUAAAAAUGGAUCUUUCUUGAACCCAGAAUACAAGAUGGGAUCAUGGAUGAAGAAAAAUCUCAAGAUUUUGUUGUAAGUAAUUAAACCAUAACACCAAAAUCUUUAGAAUUCAUGAUUUUCACAUAUGAAUUUAAUUAAUCAAGAAACAUACCUUGAUCCAUGGCAAUGAUUGAGAAUUUUAAAUCUGCAAACGAAAAAUUGUUAAAUGAAAGAAACUGUUCUCUCACUUUUCCUCUCUAUAAUUGAAUGAAUUAAUUGAUGAAUUUCACUCACGUUUAUAGGCAGAGAGACGGUUUCUUAUGGGCCAUAAAACUAUUCACUUUCUUCAAAGUGAACGGUUAUUAAACUGCCACUUCUUAAAUAGGCCAAUUGAAUUUAAGAAAUAUAAACCACUUUAAUUAAUUAAUUAAUAAUAUUACGUGGGCCACAAUUAAUUGGUUUACAUUUUCCCACUUGGCCCAUGUAAUAUUGCUCCGUUAUGUGAUUUAUAACAUAAUAUGCAUAUCUUAAGCAAAUCCCUCGUACAUUGGCCCCUUAAUAUAUCAUCCUUAAGUAAAGACUAAUAAGAGUCAUGGCGAUUUUACACCAUCAUAUUGGCAUAGUUCAUUCCAUGUACUACAAUACUAGUCCUUACUUAACAUGAUACGUAAUGAGAAGUUCGAUAAUUACAUUUUAAUAAUGUUUUUAAAAAGACUAUCCCUAUUAUCAUUUACACAAUCUACUAACAAUUAUGAUAGGAAUAGUAUCUUGUCAAAAACAAUACAUAAAUGAACUCAAAGUGUCAAUAUAUGAGCAUCAUAAAUUACAUAAUAAUGUGAAUGAUAAUUUUCAAGAAUGCCAAUUCUCUUAACAUGUUCAUUAAAUGUCUUUGGUAGUAAUCCUUUCAUUAAUGGAUUUGCAAUCAUAAGAUUGGUGCUAAUAUGUUCGAUUGACAUCUUUUGUUUUUGAACUUUUCUUUAAUAGCAAAGUACUUCAAUUCCAUUUGUUUAGCAUCUUUAAAGUAUUUGUCGUUAUUUGAAAAAAAGAUCACUGUAGAAUUAUCAUAAUAAAGUUUCAGCGGCUUGGCUAUACCGCCGACGAUUCCAGGCACUGAAAUAAAGUCUCGCGGCCAAUUUCCUUGAACUGUGGCCUCAAAGCAUGCCAUAAACUCGACUUUCAUUGUAGAUGCAGUAAUAACCGAAUGUUUUGCCCUUUUCCAUGAUAUAGCUCCUCCAGC